RNAcentral lists this non-coding RNA (273 nucleotides) under Secundilactobacillus silagei. RNAcentral describes it as "Lactobacillus silagei T-box sequence". It matches the Rfam family "T-box leader". Rfam says of the family: Uncharged tRNA acts as the effector for transcription antitermination of genes in the T-box leader family. T-boxes are found upstream of many aminoacyl-tRNA synthetase genes and some amino acid biosynthetic genes usually in Gram-positive bacteria. The record is from RNAcentral. Lineage: Bacteria; Bacillati; Bacillota; Bacilli; Lactobacillales; Lactobacillaceae.
UACGAAGCAAGCGACAAGAUGAGUAAGUUUUGCAUGGCCUUUAGAGAGUUACCGUUUGGUGAAAGGUAACGGCUAUGUCCAGCCGAAUAUGGUCUUGAUAAUCGCUCUACUGUUGAACCGUUGUGCUAGGCAGUAGCGGGAACUCCCGUUAUAGAGUUAGGGUAUGCACUGAUAGCAGUAAGUACUGAAUCGCCGUUAGUCAGUACCCAAUGAGGAAUAUUUCCGCGAGGAGUAUUCGAACUAAGGUGGUAGCACGAUUAAGUCGUCCUUUUA